This 253-nucleotide ribosomal RNA is filed under the name Enterocloster citroniae. RNAcentral describes it as "partial 16S ribosomal RNA". It matches the Rfam family "Bacterial small subunit ribosomal RNA", at positions 524 to 776 of the family's 1533-position model. Lineage: Bacteria; Bacillati; Bacillota; Clostridia; Lachnospirales; Lachnospiraceae. The record is from RNAcentral.
UACGUAGGGGGCAAGCGUUAUCCGGAUUUACUGGGUGUAAAGGGAGCGUAGACGGCGAAGCAAGUCUGGAGUGAAAACCCAGGGCUCAACCCUGGGACUGCUUUGGAAACUGUUUUGCUAGAGUGUCGGAGAGGUAAGUGGAAUUCCUAGUGUAGCGGUGAAAUGCGUAGAUAUUAGGAGGAACACCAGUGGCGAAGGCGGCUUACUGGACGAUAACUGACGUUGAGGCUCGAAAGCGUGGGGAGCAAACAGG